This 562-nucleotide ribosomal RNA is filed under the name uncultured bacterium. RNAcentral's name for it is "bacterial SSU rRNA". It matches the Rfam family "Bacterial small subunit ribosomal RNA", at positions 338 to 917 of the family's 1533-position model. The record is from RNAcentral.
CCUACGGGAGGCAGCAGUGGGGAAUAUUGGACAAUGGGCCACAAGCCUGAUCCAGCAAUUCUGUGUGCACGAUGAAGGUCUUCGGAUCGUAAAGUGCUUUCAGUAGGGAAGAAAAAAAUGACGGUACCUACAGAAGAAGCGACGGCUAAAUACGUGCCAGCAGCCGCGGUAAUACGUAUGUCGCAAGCGUUAUCCGGAAUUAUUGGGCGUAAAGCGCGUCUAGGCGGUCUUUUAAGUCUGAUGUUAAAAUGCGGGGCUCAACUCCGUAUUGCGUUGGAAACUGGAAGACUAGAGUAUCAGAGAGGUGGGCGGAACUACAAGUGUAGAGGUGAAAUUCGUAGAUAUUUGUAGGAAUGCCGAUUGGGAAGCCAGCUCACUGGAUGAAUACUGACGCUGAAGCGCGAAAGCGUGGGGAGCAAACGGGAUUAGAUACCCCGGUAGUCCACGCCGUAAACGAUGAUCACUAAGUGUGGGGGGUCGAACCUCCGUGCUCAAGCUAACGCGAUAAGUGAUCCGCCUGGGGAGUACGCACGCAAGUGUGAAACUCAAAGGAAUUGACGGA